AGGACGAACGCUGGCGGCGUGCUUAACACAUGCAAGUCGAGCGGAAAGGCCCUUCGGGGUACUCGAGCGGCGAACGGGUGAGUAACACGUGAGUAAUCUGCCCCUAGCUCUGGGAUAGCUCCGGGAAAACCGGGAUUAAUACCAGAUACGACCACUUUAGACAUCUGUUGUGGUGGAAAGAAUUUUGGCUAGGGAUGAGCUCGCGGCCUAUCAGCUUGUUGGUGAGGUAACGGCUCACCAAGGCGACGACGGGUAGCCGGCCUGAGAGGGCGACCGGCCACACUGGGACUGAGACACGGCCCAGACUCCUACGGGAGGCAGCAGUGGGGAAUAUUGCGCAAUGGGCGAAAGCCUGACGCAGCGACGCCGCGUGGGGGAUGAAGGCCUUCGGGUUGUAAACCCUUUCAGCAGGGACGAAGCGAAAGUGACGGUACCUGCAGAAGAAGCGCCGGCUAACUACGCGCCAGCAGCCGC
Molecule: ribosomal RNA, 474 nt
Filed under: uncultured bacterium
Lineage: Bacteria
Description: SSU rRNA
Rfam family: Bacterial small subunit ribosomal RNA
Source: RNAcentral